GAUCGUCAAAAUAGGAGAGAGAAAUGUUUUGGGACCAAGGGGUUAUAUUGGGAAGAGCUCUCAUACACUUAUGUGACUCUCUCUGUUACAAAGUCUACUCCCUACUACAGAGGCUAUCUCUUCCUUUGAACUCUCAAGCUUCUCUCCCCAGCUCUCUCUUUCUCUCCCUGUUACAAAAGCUCCUUCUUUCUCCCAUAAUCCCACGAACCCGACGUGGACCACUUCCUCUGGAGUGAGCAAGAUGUGGAGUGGUUAUGUGGUGCAACUGCAUGGAACAAAGAACUGGCUUCCCAUGCUACUCCCCCACAUCCCACGUUCUCCCCAA
RNAcentral lists this long non-coding RNA (325 nucleotides) under Phoenix dactylifera (date palm). RNAcentral's name for it is "long non-coding RNA (PDAC_LNC001331)". The record is from RNAcentral. Lineage: Eukaryota; Viridiplantae; Streptophyta; Magnoliopsida; Arecales; Arecaceae.